Oreochromis aureus is the source of this 2674-nucleotide long non-coding RNA. Lineage: Eukaryota; Metazoa; Chordata; Actinopteri; Cichliformes; Cichlidae. The record is from Ensembl.
GUUCCAUCGGCCCCGCCCCCAGCGACUGCUGCUCCGGAUUUGUUGUUGACAUCGCCAAAAAUGUUCCAAGCGACAGAAAAGCGGAUUAUUUGAAACGACUGCUGCUCCGGAUUUGUUGUUGACAUCGCCAAAAAUGUUCCAAGCGACAGAAAAGCGGAUUAUUUGAAAGUUUUUCAGUUCAACUAACUAAUUAACUUUACCUGCGGGGCGCGCGACAACGGAGCAGAGUGAACCAGGACUGCAAACCUGCUCCAUCUUCUCGUCUCUGGAGAUUUCCAUUUACAAAAUGUCUGUGAAGGUUCUCAGUCAUCCAGGUCAUCGUAGUCAAAGGAGUUUGCAAAGAAAGGCGUCUGGACUUCUUUAAGUUGCUUGAAGACGUUUCACCUCUCAUCCGAGAAGCUUCUCCUCAGUGACAACAACACCUACGAAGCUUUAAAACGAGACCCCACAAGCAGCUACAAAAAGAAAGUUAUAGCUUGCCUUCAAGACCUUGAAAAGGACAAAAUCAUUGACCGCCUCACAUAUCACCGCCUUUAUCCAGGGGAUGCCAUACCCUGCAUUUAUGGACUUCCUAAGAUCCACAAGGAAGGGGUCCCACUCAGACCCAUAGUCAGUAGCAUAAACUCAGCCACUUAUAACAUUGCAAAACACCUUGCUACCAUCCUUGCACCUCUCGUGGGGAACACCCACACCCACAUCAAGAACUCCACUGACUUCACCGACAAGGUCCAGAAACUUACCCUGGAUCCAGAUGAAACCAUGGUGUCCUUUGAUGUAGUCUCUCUCUUCACUUGCAUACCCACCACGGAAGCAGUGGAGACUGUCAGAAAACGACUACAAGAAGACAGCUCCUUGGAAGACAGGACCAACUUCACACCCGAUCAGAUCUGCACACUGUUAGACCUCUGCCUUACCACAACAUACUUCAAAUACAACGAAGGCUUCUACAGACAAAAACAUGGCUGUGCCAUGGGCUCCCCUGUGUCACCUAUUGUAGCCAACCUUUACAUGGAGGAAGUUGAAAGAAAGGCUCUUGGCUCUUUCAAAGGAGGAGCACCCAGCCACUGGUACAGAUAUGUAGAUGACACCUGGGUCAAAAUCAAGACACAAGAAGUGGAAUCCUUCACUGCGCACUUUAACGCCAUGGAUAAAAACAUCAAGUUCACCAGGGAAGACACAAAGGAUAACUGUUUGCCUUUCCUGGACUGCGCUGUGCACAUUGAAGAGAAUGGCAACCUCAACAUUGAAGUUUACCGGAAGCCCACACACACGGACCAGUACCUCCUCUUUGACUCCCAUCACCCUCUGGAACACAAACUUGGAGUAAUUAGGACCCUACACCACCGGGCAGAACUUGUUCCCUCUAAGCCUGAAGAGAAAAAGAAGGAACACACACAUGUAAAGGAAGCACUGAAAACAUGUGGUUAUCCUAACUGGGCGUUCAUAAAGUCAGCAAAGAGGCACAGAAAAGAAGAUCAGACACCAGCGAGGGAGGAUAAGAAAGACAGACGCAACAACAUUGUCAUCCCCUAUGUAGCCGGUGUAUCAGAGAAACUCAGGAGAGUUUUCUCCAAGCAUGACAUCCCAGUGUACUUCAGACCAAGCAACACACUCAGACACAAACUGGUUCACCCGAAAGACAAAACUCCAAAACACAGACUGAACAACGUGGUGUAUGCGGUACAGUGCAGAGAGGAAUGCCCGGACGUCUACAUUGGAGAGACCAAACAGCCACUUCACAAGCGUAUGGCACAACAUAGAAGAGCCACCUCCACAGGACAAGACUCAGCAGUCCAUCUGCAUCUUAAGGAUAAAGGUCACUCUUUCGAGGAUGCCAAUGUUCACAUUUUGGACAGGGAGGACAGAUGGUUUGAAAGAAGAGUGAAAGAGGCCAUCUAUGUCCACUGUGAGCGACCAUCUUUGAACAGAGGCGGUGGUUUACGACACCAACUCUCUGCCAUCUAUAAUCCAGUUUUGAGUUCCCUCCCCAGACGCCUUAACGCCCACUCACAUCCUGGGCCAUCUGACCUCAGGAAUUCACAUGACAAGGUGGGGCCAGGUUUCACAAUGGGCUCACCCGAAACCCUGGCUGAUUAGGUCCCACACCCGCUUUCACACCUUGGCGCAUGUGAUUAGAGGAUCACCAGGGGGUCCUUUGUCCCUCCUUGGGGGGAUACUCCCACUGGGUUUAAAUCUGGGACUCUCGGCCAUUUGACCUUAGAACUGAAGAAGCUUCUCGGAUGAGAGGUGAAACGUCUUCAAGCAACUUAAAGAAGUCCAGACGCCUUUCUUUGCAAACUCCUUUGACUUCCAUUUACAAAGCACCAACAACUCAAAGGAGCUGCCCUCAGAUUCAGACCUCAGCACCACCCAGUGAAAGCAGACAGAUCAUUCAACAUGUUCACGUUAACUCCAAAAUUAACUGAUGAAAGCUGCAGCUGUUUUAUUGAUAAAGUCAAAAGGAUUAAUCACCCCUGUCACUGUCACUAUAUAUCAGCAGUCUGGUGUUUCAGAAAGCUGCUAUCUGAGACCUGUAGAGGUUCUGUUUUAAACACUGAAUGCACUCAGCCACAUGAAGAGCACAUGAGAUUUUCCCUGACACACUUAAAUAAAACCUGAUGAAGGUUAACUAAAAACUGGUGAUCUGGAAUUCUUUCAGUUUUUUUUUUCCUUC